This 1720-nucleotide long non-coding RNA is filed under the name Rattus norvegicus (Norway rat). Its description in RNAcentral is "long non-coding RNA NONRATT017236". The record is from RNAcentral. Lineage: Eukaryota; Metazoa; Chordata; Mammalia; Rodentia; Muridae.
GCAGCCACCUGCCAAAAUUCCUGCAGCUGAGCCCCAGUGCUGCGCUUCCUGUGGUCCUUGCUGCUGGCUGGGUGGCCAUCCCAGGUGGGAGAGACCCUGGGGACAGGGAAUAUGAGGGAUACAGGCACAUGUGUGUGCGUGCCCGCACACCGCACACACACACACACACACACACACACACACACACACACACACACACACGCUUUCCUCCUCCAAACCUAUCAAACAGGCAAUCGGGCAGUGCCUCCUGGGACCACAGACACAUGUUCUCCAAGGAGAACAGCCUGCUAAUUUAAUCUCAGCGACAGGAAGAGAGGAAGAAACAAUUGCUGUUAAGACGAGGAGGACUUCUUCCUGUUAAAGCUGCAAGGCCCUUGGGGUUCCCUCGGACAGAACUGCAAAUCAACCCCGGAACUCUCGCUCAAGGGCAAUUGCUGACGGGUGGAACUUGGGCUUGCGAGAGGAGGCAGGUCCAUGAGAGACCUGCCCUUGGAACCUCAGCCAGCACAGCGCUCAUCGAGGUGAGCUGGCUGUGCUGUGUGCACGGCUGGGGUUGUCACCUACAUCAGCCUUCCUCUCGGACAAGAGGCUUUUCUCUGUGCAUCUGGAGUGCCGCCAUUCCUCCAUCUGCCCGUUCAUCCGCCAUCCUGUCUUUGCCUUGGGGAGGGGGGAGGUUUGUUGAAGUCAUGCCGUGCAGCUCUUUCUGGAAACAUCUGUGGAUGGUGUUGAAGAUAAGCAUGGGGGAGAUACAACAGAGGUAGUCUUUGCCCAUGCCCACUUCUUGCCUGGUCCUUUAAGCCACUUUGCUCUUGGUUUCUGCCCUGCAUGGGUACUACUAGGGCAGGUCCCAAGUUGAGAAGCCCAGAGGUGAGGUGUGAACCCUCAGUUCUGUUGUAAAGAUGCUCAAAUACCCUCUAAGGUUCAUCUAAAGGAGUAACCUGCCUAGGGGUGCUGUUGACCUGAAAUCAAGAGGACCAAAGGAUCCAUUGCCAACACCCCCCAUCCCCCACACACACCUCAUCUGUGACCAGAGUCUAUGCUUUGAAUCAGAAUGGGCUAUAUCCUCUGACCUCAGAGGCUAUGACCCAGAAGAGAUUCUUCCCUGAAUCCUCCCACUUUGCACACAUAUAGACUUUAUCCUUCUUCACUCUGUGUCUAUUCAAAUGUAUAAUUCUGGUUUCUCUCACCCCACGGAAGAACUAGAUCACAGCAACUGUUAUGUUUGAGGGAGUGGGGGAGAAGGUGAUUGAUUUGACCCCCUCUCCCCCACCGGUGUUGAUAAGUAGCGUCUGUCCCACCUCCAGACUCCACCCACACAUAAUGAGCAGCACAUAGACCAGGAUGGGGGAGGGGGGUGGUAUAUCAUGCUUGCCCUCCUCCAACCACUAUGAGAAGGCUAGCAGAAGACACCACUGCACAGACCCAAGUCCAAGGACUGCCUCCCCAGGGAAUUAGGCAGUGACUUCCUAGAGGCCAAGAAAGACUCCAAGAGCUGGAGAAGAAUCCUAGUCAUCUGGAUCUCUUUUGAGGUUGGGGUUGGGGUGGCUUUCAAUGGAUUCUCUCAUGAGGCUUAUCUCUCCCUCAUCCCGUGGAGAGUGGGGGACCCUCCCUAGUGCUCACACUAGACACUGUGCCCCUUGGAGAGGCAUAAGGCAUGUAUGGGAGAUAAUAAUGGGCUAUAAAACAUGCCAAGCAGAAAAUAUCUUAUCCUUCAAGCUUC